AUGCUUGAGGUGGCCACGCUGCAAAGCCCUAAUCCGGCCGUCUUCAGCCUCGGCGACCACCACCAUGUCGAUGUCGGGUUCCCGGAGGCCACCGUGGAGGAGGACGACUUCCUGCUGGACUACAUCGACUUCAGCACGUGCGACAUGCCCUUCUUCCACGUCGACGACGGCGACGACAUCCUCCCCGACCUCGAGGUCGACCCGACCGAGCUCCUCGCCGAGUUCGCCGACGAGCCGGCGACGACUACGGUGCUGAGCCCGGCGGCAGAGCCGGCGCCAGACAGCUGCGAAACCCACCAUGGCGACGAGGCGAAGACGGCCGUGGAAACGGACCUACCGGCAGAGAUGGACAUGGAACUACCAGAAGGCAAGGGCGAGACGAAGGGUUUGAUGUCGUCGUCGGAAGAGAAAGAUGUGAAGCAGCAGCACGACAACAAGAACAACAACAACAACAACAACAACAUCGUGGGCGAUGAGGUUUGCAGCGCGGUGACGACGGACGAUUCUUCCGCUGCGGUCGGGUCUGAGAACAGCAAGUCGUCGGCGUCGGCAAAGGGGCACAGCAAGAUGACGUCGAAGCCCGCGUCGGCAGCCGCGGCGACCAAGAGCUCCCACGGCAGGCGGAAGGUGAAGGUGGACUGGACGCCGGAGUUGCACCGGCGGUUCGUGCAGGCGGUGGAGCAGCUGGGGCUGGACAAGGCGGUGCCGUCGCGGAUCCUGGAGCUCAUGGGCAACGAGUACCGCCUCACGCGCCACAACAUCGCCAGCCAUCUCCAGAAGUACAGGUCACACAGGAAGCACCUGAUGGCGAGGGAGGCGGAGGCGGCGAGCUGGACGCAGAAGCGGCAGAUGUACGCGGCGGCCGGCGGGCCGAGGAAGGACGCGGCGGCGGGAGGCGGCCCGUGGGUCGUGCCGACGGUCGGGUUCCCGCCCCCGGGGGCGAUGCCGCCGCACGCGGGGAUGGCGCACCACCCCGGCCAGCCGCCGCCGUUCUGCCGGCCGCUGCACGUGUGGGGCCAUCCCACCGGCGUCGACGCGACGCUGCCGCUGUCGCCGCCGUCCAUGCUGCCCGUCUGGCCGCGGCACCUGGCGCCGCCGCCGGCGUGGGCGCAGCAGCCGCCGGUGGACCCCGUCUACUGGCACCAGCAGUACAACGCUGCCAGGAAAUGGGGCCCGCAGGCAGUGACACAGUGCGUUCCGCCGCCGAUGCCUCCUGCGGCCAUGAUGCAGAGGUUUGCUGCGCCGCCGAUGCCGGGGAUGGUACCGCAUCCUAUGUACAGACCGAUCCCGCCUCCGCCGUCGCCGGUGCCGCAGAGCAAUAAGGUCGCCGGCCUGCAGCUUCAGCUCGACGCCCACCCGUCCAAGGAGAGCAUCGACGCAGCCAUCGGAGACGUUUUAGUGAAGCCAUGGCUGCCGCUUCCCCUGGGGCUCAAGCCCCCGUCGCUGGACAGCGUCAUGUCGGAGCUGCACAAGCAAGGCAUACCCAAGGUCCCGCCGGCGGCGACAACGAACUGCGGCGGCGCCGCCUGA
RNAcentral lists this ribosomal RNA (1530 nucleotides) under Triticum aestivum (bread wheat). RNAcentral's name for it is "partial small subunit ribosomal RNA". The record is from RNAcentral. Lineage: Eukaryota; Viridiplantae; Streptophyta; Magnoliopsida; Poales; Poaceae.